This is a long non-coding RNA of Lytechinus variegatus (green sea urchin), 309 nucleotides long. RefSeq lists it as uncharacterized. The record is from RefSeq and is a predicted model, not a curated record. Lineage: Eukaryota; Metazoa; Echinodermata; Echinoidea; Temnopleuroida; Toxopneustidae. The transcript is spliced from 4 exons.
UUUCAAAAGAUUGAAGAUGAUGACAAUACACCUGCAUCAAAUGUCAAAAAGAAACAUAGAGACGAUGUUCCUCGCCUGUUUACAUUUGAUGCACAUGCUAUACAACGCGGGGCACGUUUUGCCGAGUUAUUUGAAAGCGACGAGAUCGUAGAAGACUUCAACGAGGUCGUCGAACUUGAUGAUGAACGGGUUGAAGAGGUCGUGUCUCAGGAACUGGUAGGAAAGUUGGUUGGUAACAAAUGGUUUCGUGGUCUCAUUCUCGGUAGUAUCAUAGUAAACGCUAUUCUCAUUGGGGUACAGACCAACCAA